GGACUUCUGGUUUGAAUUAAUUCAAGACAUAACAUGUGAGCAAUGGCUGUGAGGUACCAAGUUUCUAACUUAAUAACAAUGGAGAUGAACAUGAAGAGCCACAAAGUAUAACACUAAUUUCAAUCUCAACAAUGCAUAACGUUUUGAUCUUAAAGAAAGAACUAGCUUAAAGAUAAGGCACAGAUGCUUGCAGAUCUGAAUAUUUGACAAAGAGAUAGGAAUUCAAGACAUUUCUCAAGAUGUUCAGUUAUAAAAUAGUUCCAGCUACAAUAACGAUCUGAUUACAAAUCCAUGUGUAACGCCACUGUUUUAUGCUACAUUUGUUAUUCAGGUCCAGUAGCCAGUGGUUCUUUGCGUAAUUGUUCAAAAGGACAUUUUGAGGUGCUUGUCCAGAUGUGAUUAUUUCUCUUCAGUAACAGGUCAAUCAUAUAUUUCUUUCAUCUAACUUUGUGCUUUGUUAUCUACAAACUAAUAGGUCGUUCUGUCUACAUACUAUCCGGCCAAGUGGAGGCGUAGGUAGCGUUAAAGGGUGGCCGCCUGUGGCUGUGUGGGAGUAUGCGUGUGUAAACGAAUCUCUGUACUCAACCUUCCUCUGCAAUCUCAGCCCCCUUCUCCAAGCUCAUCCCCCUUCUCCUCUGUUCCCCUCGUCCCUUCUCUGGACCCCGAUCCCCUCGAGCAGAUCAGGGUUGUUACAUUGGUUUUCAGAGCCAAAUUUUCUUCCCCUCACCGCCGCUGCACCGCCGGAGCUUGGGAGGUGGAUCGGUAACAUCCACCGCGUAUGGUGCGAGUCCGCUCGCCGGAUCUCGCCCAAAAUCCGUCACAGGGUUCGAUCCCCUUUCAGGCCGAAGCAACGGCGCCGUCGAAGCCCUCCGUUGCGACGCGGCAAGUCCUGGAGGCCAUGGAGGAAGGGAACGCCAACAUCGCAAAGAUGCUCGACUCCCUCCUCACCAAGCUCGACGAGCAGACCGCCCUCCGCGACAAGCAACUGGAGGCGCAACUCUCCUUCAACAACCAGAUCGCGCAGGAGCUGCGGGGUCUUGCGCGGCAGCUCGAUCUGACGCAGGCCGACGUUGAUGCGACCCGCAAGACCGUCGACUGCUCGGCCUCACAUGCGGGAUCCGUCACCACGUUGGUACCACCACCGCCGCCGCCGCCGCCGCCGCCUCCGUCUCCGCGUCACCAGCCCCACCACGCGGAACCCCAUCGCCCCGCUUCUGCUCACGCUCGCUUGGGGGACAAUCGACCACCACUCAUCCCGGUUCCCCCUCUUGGUGCGCCCAUGGCUGGGGUCACCGCGCCGCCGCCCAGCCCCAACUACACAGAGAACUCCUACCACAAACCACCGAAACACGAUUUUCCCCGUUUCGAUGGAUCCGCACCCUACCUCUGGUUGGAUCGGUGUUUAGCGUACUUUGAGCUCUACAAGGUGGGUCAACAUGUUUGGGUGCCCACCGCUGCUCUGUACAUUGAGGGCCAGGCAGCACACUGGCUCCAGGCGUUUCGCCAGAGCCACCGCAACUUGUCAUGGGACAUGUUCGCCGCCGCCGUGCUUGAAGAAUUCGGUGCAUACGAGUUCGAGCUCACCAUGCACUGUCUCCUUCAACUACAGCAGACGGGCAGCGUCGCCGAGUAUCGCACAUUGUUUGAUGAGCUCAUGUAUCAUCUUCUGGCGCUGGAUCCCUCCAUCAACAACAAAUUCUUCAUCACCCAGUUCUGUUUGGGCUUGAAGGACGAGCUACGCGCAGCAAUUUGCUUACAAGCCCGUCGAGCAUCACCCGCGCGUCUGUGCUUGCGCGCAUUCAAGAGGAAGAGCUGGGCACGACACGCCCACGGGUCCGACCGGUUCCUCCAGGGCGCCCGCCUCCACCAACGAACGCGGCGCCGCCGCGGCAAGCGGCUGUUCCACGCGCCACCGGUGACGAAUUCGCACGGGAGCGACAGCUGCGAGAUUAUCGGCGCGCCAACAAUCUUUGCUUCAAGUGUGGGGACAAAUACUCCCGGGAGCACCGCUGCGCGCAGCCGGCACAAUUGCUCACCAUCCAUGUGGGGGAGCAUGGCGAGGUUCUCUCCGACAACGCGAUCCAUGCUCUCCAACUCUUGGACGAUCCCGAACCACCAGCGCGGCUGGCGGAGUGCUACGUGCUGUCAGCUCAGGUGCUGGACGGCUCCGAUUCGCCAAGUACCAUUUGGCUGCGUGCUCUGGUGAGGAAUCAGGUGAUGCUGCUGCUCCUCGACUCGGGCAGCACCCACAGCUUCGUCAACAAGAGCUUCGUCGACCGUAUCGGCGCGCAAACUCAACCGCUGCCUCCGGUGGAAGUACGUGUCGCCAACGGUGAUCGCAUCACCUGUGAUCGCAUCGUGCCCGAUCUGAAAUGGUGGAUGCAGGGGCACACCUUCUCCACACCAAUGCGGGAGCUCGACAUCGGCGCCUAUGACGGCAUUCUGGGCAUGGACUGGCUGGCAUAGCACAGUCCCAUGACUUGCCACUGGCAAGACAAGUUUGUCUCAUUCAUCCACGACGGCGAACAAGUCACGCUGCGCGGCGUCAAGCCCAAGACCACCGAGACCCUGACGGCGGUGGAACCAGCAGAGCUUCACAAGUUGAUCGCCGGCAAUAAGGUGUGGGCAAUGGCCAUGGUGGAUGCCUGCCCGCCUGUCCAGACUAAGCGCAAGACACCGAGCCACACCCCACUCGCCGAUAUCCUCGACGAGUAUGCAGAUGUCUUCGCCGCGCCCCACGGCCCGCCACCACACUGACAGUAUGACCACGCCAUCACGUUGGUGGAAGGGACGAUUUCGGCCAACACUCGCCCCUACUGCUACUCUCCCCUGCAGAAAGACGAGAUCGAGCGACAGGUCCGUGAAAUGCUGGAUUCAGGGGUGAUCACACACAGCGUGAGCCCCUACGCGGCACCGGUGUUGCUCGUUAAGAAGAAGGACGGCACCUGGAGGUUUUGCGUCGAUUACCGCUGGCUCAAUGACGCAACAAUCAAGAACAAGUUUCCCCUACCAAUCGUGGAUGAACUGCUUGAUGAACUAGCGGGCGCCACAGUCUUCUCCAAGUUGGAUUUACAGUCCGGCUACCAUCAUAUUCGAAUGCGAGAAGAAGAUGAGGCCAAGACGGCGUUCAAGACCCAUCACGGCCAUUUUCAGUUCCGCGUCAUGCCGUUCGGCCUCACCAACGCUCCGGCAACAUUUCAGUGCCUGAUGAACGCGAUUUUCAGUAAGUACAUCCGCAAGUUCGUCAUCAUUUUCCUUGACGAUAUUUUGGUCUUCAGUGAAACAAUGGAAGAACACCUGGAACAUGUGCGCACGGUGAUGGGACUGCUUCGUCGACACCAACUCUAUGUCAAGGCCUCCAAGUGUGAGUUCGCCACCGAUCACAUCGACUACCUCGGCCAUGUGAUCUCCCGCGAGGGCGUCGCCACCGAUGCGGAGAAAACCUAGGCCAUGGUGCAGUAGCCUACGCCUACGACAGCGACGGAGCUUCGCGGUUUCCUCGGCCUCACUGGCUAUUACCGCAAGUUUGUGCCACACUACGGCAUCAUCGCCAAGCCCCUCACGCAACUCCUCACCAAGAAAGGCUUCGAGUGGACAGAGCACGCCCAGGCCGCGUUCGACCUGCUCAAGCAGGCCAUGGUCACCACCCCGGUGCUCGCACUCCCCAACUUCGACAAGCCGUUCGCCAUCGAGACGGAUGCCUGCGACACGGGCAUCGGCGCGGUGCUCACCCAGGAAGGGCAUCCCGUGGCUUACUUCAGCAAGGCGCUGGGCGCGCGUAACCAGAAACUCUCCACUUACGAGAAGGAGUUUCUCGCGGUGAUGAUGGCAGUGGACAAAUGGUGUCAGUGUCUUUAGUGCGGGCCAUUCGACAUCCUGCAACUUGGGAGAACAGCACCUGGAGACAGACGUUCAGCGCAAGGCCAUGUCCAAGCUCGUCGGCCUUCAAUUUCGCUUCUUGUACAAGCGCGGCCUCGACAACGGAGCGGCAGAUGCGCUCUCCAGAGUGGGCAAGCUGAUGGACCUGGCCGCGCUCUCGACCUGUCAGCCGGCAUGGUUGCAGGAGGUGGCUAACUCCUACACGACAGACGCGGAUGCCCAGGAACAUCUUCAGCACUUAGUCGUGUCCAGCCCGGAUGCAGAGAGGUAUGAGCUUCAUCGAGGCAUCAUUCGUCGCCAAGGCCGGCUCUGGAUCGGGGCUAACACGGCCCUGCGCACUAAGCUGAUCGCCGCGCUCCACAACAGCGCGGUGGGUGGCCACUCUGGCGUCACGGCGACCUACCACCGGGUCAAGAAGCAUUUCGAGUGGCGGGGCCUGAAGAAGGACGUGGAGGAAUUCGUGCACCAAUGCACCAUCUGUCAACAGGCCAAGCACGAGCACACCAAGCCAGCUGGCCUCCUCGCGCCCUUGCCCAUUCCGUCUGCGCCAUGGGAGGACCUAACAAUGGACUUCAUCGAGGGCUUGCCGGCGUCCGAGAGCUGCAACUCCAUCAUGGUCGUUGUCGAUCGCUUCACCAAGUUUACACACUUUGUGCCACUUCGCCACCCCUUCACUGCAGCAACAGUCGCCCGCGCGUUCUGGGACAACAUUGUGAAGCUGCACGGGAUUCCUUCUUCAAUUGUCUCCGACCGCGACAAGAUCUUCACCAGCAACCUCUGGCGCAAACUCCUCGAGAGCGCGGGCACCAAACUGCUGUACUCGACGGCAUACCACCCGCAGACCGAUGGCCAGAGCGAGAGGGUGAACCAGUGUCUGCAGAUGUACCUGCGCUGCACCGUCCACGACUCCCCCAACAAGUGGCGCCGCUGGCUACCGAUGGCUGAGUUCUGGUACAACUCGACCUUCCAUUCCUCCCUCAACUGCACACCCUUCAAGGCCCUGUAUGGCCGAGAAGCCAAUUUGGGCACCAUGGCAACCUGGGCAGAGGAGGCACCAACCGGCGACGACCUGGACUAGGCAGCUCAUACGAAUGCCAUCCGUGCGCAGCUGACGCUCGCCCAGCACCGCUUCAAGAAGCAGGCGGACAAGCACCGUGUCAAGCGCUCCUUCCAGGUGGGGGAACAAGUCCUCCUGAAGUUGCAGCCCUACGUGCAACGCUCGGUGGUCUCGCGCCCAUGCGCCAAGCUUGCAUAUAAGUUCUUCAGCCCCUACACCGUCUUGGAGAAGAUUGGACCACUGGCGUAUAGGAUGGAUCUGCCGCCAGACAGCCGCGUGCAUCCAGUCUUCCACGUCUCCCAGCUGAAGCCGUUCACGACGGAUUACACGCUAGUGUUCGCCGAGCUUCCCCGAGUCCACGACCUGUUGGCUUCACUGACAGAACCCGUCAAGAUCCUGGAGCGGCGCAUGAUGAAGCACGGCGACGCGCCCGUGGUGCAGCUCAAGAUCCCGUGGUCAUCGUCGUCUCCGGACGCGGCCACCUGGGAGGACUACGACGUUCUAUGCCGACGCUUUCCCACGGCCACCAUCUGGGAGGGAGAAGCCUCGUCUUAAGGAGGGGAGAAUGUCACGCCUAAGCAGCUGUUAGCGUGACGAAGGAGCUGGCUGGUGGGCCCAGCCAGCUGGCCGGCCAAGUGGAGGCGUAGGUAGCGUUAAAGGGUGGCCACCUAUGGCUGUGUGGGGGUAUGCGUGUGUAAACGAAUCUCUGUACUCAACCUUCCUCUGCAAUCUCAGCCCCCUUCUCCAAGCUCAUCCCCCUUCUCCUCUGUUCCCCUCGUCCCUUCUCUGGACCCCGAUCCCCUCGAGCAGAUCAGGGUUGUUACAAGGUUUGCCCGUGUUUUUGGUUGUGUUGCCAAAUCAUUUCAAAAUAUGUCCUUCAUAUGGAGUUAGAAUAUUUUAACGUUACAAUGGCAACCUAAAAUAGUGGAAGCUUUCCAGCAUUACCAAAGUUCCACUCCUGUUUCUAUUCAUUUUGGUCGCUCUGGUUAGUGUUAUUGUUGAAAAUUAAAUUAGUAAAAUAGCUUGUGAUAAAAAUAAGAAAGAUAUACUGGCCACCUGUGUGUUAAUUAUUGUUUCAAACCUGAAAAUGGAAGUCUAAAAAAAUCCCUAAAUGUUUUCUCCUUAGGACAGAGUUGUUGUUUUUGAGGAGCAAGGUACACGAUAUAUAUGUAGGGCCUCUUUGGUCAACGUCUCAAUGGAUAAAAGCCAAUGCACGUUCACUUUACAAAAAAAGGAGAGAAAACCUUCAUGUGUUUCAUAUGCUUACUCGUGGUGAUGCCAACCUUUUGCUAUUGCAAACGUUACUGGUUCUCUCAUAUCAAGAUCACCUUCUUUUCUGUUGCAGCAAACAUUACAUGAACUUUCAUGAGUUUGUUUACAAUUCCGAACUCCUCCAAUUGAACGGCUCAUCUACUGAAGUACUCCCUCCGUUUCAAAAUAGAUGACCCAACUUUAUACUAACUUUGUACUAAAGUUAGUACAAAGUUGAGUCAUCUAUUUCGGAACGGAGGGAGUACUCUAUUUGUGUACAGUUUUGUAGGAGUUUGGAGUACUCUGAGCACCUACCUGUAGCGUGCCAUCAAAACCACAUGCACAACAGGAGUUUUGCAUGGCAUGAGUAAUCUUCCUCUCCUUCCUCCCUCACAGUCUCUAACCGCCCUCUCCCUCUAGAUCCAAAUUUAGCUCUUACGUGUAAGAGUUUGCAUCAUGAAUGAAAGCAGAGCUGAUUCUCAUUUCAGUACUAGGUGGGUAGGGAUUAAUCCGUCAAAACGAAUGAUUAUAGUUAGGAAACCUGUCAAUAUGGUUAUAUGUAUUAGUAAUAAGAUUUUCAAUUAAUCCAAACAAGAAAAGCAUGUGAUUUUUUCUAUUUAGUAUUUAGUAUUUCUGGAAAACUAUACGCGAUCUUGCUAAUUUCAUACUACUAGAUUACAGUCGUACAUGCUCUUGCUUGUCUACAAAAUUUCAUUCUUGCAUCUAACCCUGAUUAAAGAAAUGCUUGAAUAGCAGGAUGGCAUUGGGUUGUCAUGUUUUACUGUCAUUUGCCUGUAGUACUCUAUUGACUCAGGUGCUUUGCUAUUAUAAUGUUGUCAUUUACGUUUAGUAAUAUGUUGACUCACAU
RNAcentral lists this long non-coding RNA (7055 nucleotides) under Triticum aestivum (bread wheat). RNAcentral describes it as "long non-coding RNA (TAES_LNC016455)". Lineage: Eukaryota; Viridiplantae; Streptophyta; Magnoliopsida; Poales; Poaceae. The record is from RNAcentral.